Molecule: ribosomal RNA, 443 nt
Filed under: uncultured bacterium
Lineage: Bacteria
Description: partial 16S ribosomal RNA
Rfam family: Bacterial small subunit ribosomal RNA
Source: RNAcentral
CCUACGGGUGGCAGCAGUGGGGGAUAUUGGACAAUGGGGGGAACCCUGAUCCAGCGACGCCGCGUGAGUGAAGAAGUAUUUCGGUAUGUAAAGCUCUGUCAGCAGGGAAGAAAGAAAUGACGGUACCUGACCAAGAAGCCCCGGCUAACUACGUGCCAGCAGCCGCGGUAAUACGUAGGGGGCAAGCGUUAUCCGGAAUUACUGGGUGUAAAGGGAGCGUAGACGGUUAAGUAAGUCUGGAGUGAAAGGCCGGGGCUCAACCCCGGGACUGCUCUGGAAACUAUUUAACUUGAGUGCAGGAGAGGUAAGCGGAAUUCCUAGUGUAGCGGUGAAAUGCGUAGAUAUUAGGAGGAACACCAGUGGCGAAGGCAGCUUACUAAACUGCCACUGACAUUGAUGCUCGAAAGUGUGGGUAUCAAACAGGAUUAGAUACCCCAGUAGUC